AACGCUGCGCAAGUGGGCCGACGGUCGACUCCGGCAGCGUGAGGGACCCCAGCCCGGCCCCGGAAAGCUGCAG
Molecule: regulatory RNA element, 73 nt
Organism: Mycobacterium sherrisii
Lineage: Bacteria; Bacillati; Actinomycetota; Actinomycetes; Mycobacteriales; Mycobacteriaceae
Rfam family: hya RNA
Source: Rfam